CCUGAGAAACCCAAAAGAUCGAAUGGGGAGAUUCAUCGUCAGCUCAUUUUGUAUAUAUAUUAGUUAUGAUGCGGGUUACUACUUGUAGUAUUGCCUGCACGUGCUUUUAUAUUUUAUUGCAAGGUGUUGUCGGCGUGCACUUCUCCCCUAGUAGAACGUCGCGACCCGUUGGGUGUCGGUUUACGGCCCAAGUGAUAGACUUUAAUGUAAUUUAAAAAACAUUGAAGAUCCUUGGUGUUUUCUAACCGGCUACUCGGCGGUACUCGUACGGUAUUUAGCCGCUAAUUUAUUUAGCGUCCAUGUCCGUCGCAAGCGAGGCUAAUUUUCUACUGAUAGUACGGACCUAGUGCCGUCGUUGGUAUUGGCCAGCUGUUGGUUGUACGGUAUUCUAGGACUGGCUAAAAAUUAAUUACCGGUCGGCGAUGCUACUGCUUUGGGUACUUUCAGG
RNAcentral lists this ribosomal RNA (448 nucleotides) under Aleiodes sp. BCLDQ00589. RNAcentral's name for it is "LSU rRNA". The record is from RNAcentral. Lineage: Eukaryota; Metazoa; Arthropoda; Insecta; Hymenoptera; Braconidae. RNAcentral also lists the same sequence under 1 other name.